AGAGUUUGAUCAUGGCUCAGGACGAACGCUGACGGUGUGCUUUAGGCAUGCAAGUCGAACGAGAAAGCCCUUCGGGGUGAGUAGAGUGGCGAACGGGUGAGUAACACGUGGGCAACCUGCCCCUCGCAGGGGGAUAACCGGAGGAAACUCCGGCUAAUACCCCGUAAGCUUUCAGGGUCGCAUGGCCCUGUAAGGAAAGGUAGCUUCGGCCAUCCGGCGAGGGAUGGGCCCGCGGUGCAUUAGCUAGUUGGUGGGGUAACGGCCCACCAAGGCGACGAUGCGUAGCUGGUCUGAGAGGAUGAUCAGCCACACUGGGACUGAGACACGGCCCAGACUCCUACGGGAGGCAGCAGCCAGGAAUCUUGGGCAAUGGGCGAAAGCCUGACCCAGCAACACCGUGUGGGCGAUGAAGGCCUUCGGGUCGUAAAGCCCUGUUGAUAGGGACGAAGGGCGAAGGGUUAAUAGCCCCUAGCCUGACGGUACCUUUCGAGGAAGCCCCGGCUAACUACGUGCCAGCAGCCGCGGUAAUACGUAGGGGGCGAGCGUUGUCCGGAAUUAUUGGGCGUAAAGAGCGUGUAGGCGGUUCGGUAAGUCUGCCGUGAAAACCUGAGGCUCAACCUCGGGCGUGCGGUGGAUACUGCCGGGCUAGAGGACGGUAGAGGCGAGUGGAAUUCCCGGUGUAGCGGUGAAAUGCGCAGAUAUCGGGAGGAACACCAGUAGCGAAGGCGGCUCGCUGGGCCGUUCCUGACGCUGAGACGCGAAAGCUAGGGGAGCGAACAGGAUUAGAUACCCCAGUAGUCC
This 801-nucleotide ribosomal RNA is filed under the name uncultured Rubrobacter sp. RNAcentral's name for it is "bacterial SSU rRNA". It matches the Rfam family "Bacterial small subunit ribosomal RNA", at positions 8 to 796 of the family's 1533-position model. Lineage: Bacteria; Bacillati; Actinomycetota; Rubrobacteria; Rubrobacterales; Rubrobacteraceae. The record is from RNAcentral.